This 490-nucleotide ribosomal RNA is filed under the name uncultured bacterium. RNAcentral's name for it is "partial 16S ribosomal RNA". It matches the Rfam family "Bacterial small subunit ribosomal RNA", at positions 30 to 507 of the family's 1533-position model. The record is from RNAcentral.
AUUGAACGCUGGCGGCAGGCCUAACACAUGCAAGUCGAACGGUAACAGGAAGAAGCUUGCUUCUUUGCUGACGAGUGGCGGACGGGUGAGUAAUGUCUGGGAAACUGCCUGAUGGAGGGGGAUAAUUACUGGAAACGGUAGCUAAUACCGCAUAAUGUCGCAAGACCAAAGAGGGGGACCUUCGGGCCUCUUGCCAUCGGAUGUGCCCAGAUGGGAUUAGCUAGUAGGUGGGGUAACGGCUCACCUAGGCGACGAUCCCUAGCUGGUCUGAGAGGAUGACCAGCCACACUGGAACUGAGACACGGUCCAGACUCCUACGGGAGGCAGCAGUGGGGAAUAUUGCACAAUGGGCGCAAGCCUGAUGCAGCUAUGCCGCGUGUAUGAAGAAGGCCUUCGGGUUGUAAAGUACUUUCAGCGGGGAGGAAGGGAGUAAAGUUAAUACCUUUGCUCAUUGACGUUACCCGCAGAAGAAGCACCGGCUAACUCCGUG